Molecule: unclassified non-coding RNA, 241 nt
Filed under: plant metagenome
Description: partial contains small subunit ribosomal RNA, internal transcribed spacer 1, and 5.8S ribosomal RNA
Rfam family: Eukaryotic small subunit ribosomal RNA (bases 1-53)
Source: RNAcentral
GGAAGUAAAAGUCUAACAAGGUUUCCGUAGGUGAACCUGCGGAAGGAUCAUUACAGAGUUCAUGCCCUCACGGGUAGAUCUCCCACCCUUGAAUAUUUAUACCUUAGUUGCUUUGGCAGGCCGUGGAAACACCAUGGGCUCCGGCUUAUGCGUGCCUGCCAGAGGAAACAAACUCUGUUUUUAGUGAUGUCUGAGUACUAUAUAAUAGUUAAAACUUUCAACAACGGAUCUCUUGGUUCUG